GGGCUCGUGGUCUAGGGGUCAUGACGUCGCCUUCACACGGCGAAGAUCGCAGGUUCAAUUCCUGCCGAGCCCA
Molecule: transfer RNA, 73 nt
Filed under: Methanobacteriota archaeon
Lineage: Archaea; Methanobacteriati; Methanobacteriota
Also listed under: 3 other names
Description: Euryarchaeota archaeon tRNA-Val
Rfam family: tRNA
About the family: Transfer RNA (tRNA) molecules are approximately 80 nucleotides in length.
Source: RNAcentral